AGUGAACGCUGGCGGUAGGCCUAACACAUGCAAGUCGAACGGCAGCACAGUAAGAGCUUGCUCUUACGGGUGGCGAGUGGCGGACGGGUGAGGAAUACAUCGGAAUCUACUUUUUCGUGGGGGAUAACGUAGGGAAACUUACGCUAAUACCGCAUACGACCUACGGGUGAAAGCAGGGGAUCUUCGGACCUUGCGCGAUUGAAUGAGCCGAUGUCGGAUUAGCUAGUUGGCGGGGUAAAGGCCCACCAAGGCGACGCUCCGUAGCUGGUCUGAGAGGAUGGUCAGCCACACUGGAACUGAGACACGGUCCAGACUCCUACGGGAGGCAGCAGUGGGGAAUAUUGGACAAUGGGCGCAAGCCUGAUCCAGCCAUACCGCGUGGGUGAAGAAGGCCUUCGGGUUGUAAAGCCCUUUUGUUGGGAAAGAAAAGCAGCAGGUUAAUACCCCGCUGUUCUGACGGUACCCAAAGAAUAAGCACCGGCUAACUUCGUG
Molecule: ribosomal RNA, 492 nt
Filed under: uncultured bacterium
Lineage: Bacteria
Description: partial 16S ribosomal RNA
Rfam family: Bacterial small subunit ribosomal RNA
Source: RNAcentral